This 681-nucleotide ribosomal RNA is filed under the name uncultured Mortierella. Its description in RNAcentral is "eukaryotic LSU rRNA". The stretch from base 220 to 373 matches the Rfam family "5.8S ribosomal RNA". The record is from RNAcentral. Lineage: Eukaryota; Fungi; Mortierellomycota; Mortierellomycetes; Mortierellales; Mortierellaceae.
CUUGGUCAUUUAGAGGAAGUAAAAGUCGUAACAAGGUUUCCGUAGGUGAACCUGCGGAAGGAUCAUUCAUAAUAAGUGUUUUAUGGCACUUUUUUAAAUCCAUAUCCACCUUGUGUGCAAUGUCAGGGUUGGUCUCUUGAAAAAGAGAUCAGCCCCAAACAUCAACCCAAUCUUAACUCUUUGUCUGAAAAAUAUUAUGAAUAAAACAAUUCAAAAUACAACUUUCAACAACGGAUCUCUUGGCUCUCGCAUCGAUGAAGAACGCAGCGAAAUGCGAUACGUAAUGUGAAUUGCAGAAUUCAGUGAAUCAUCGAAUCUUUGAACGCAUAUUGCGCUCUUUGGUAUUCCGAAGAGCAUGCUUGUUUGAGUAUCAGUAAACACCUCAAAGCCUUUUUUUGUUAAGAGGCCUUGGACUUGAACAAUCCCAACACUUUUCCUCCAAGAAAAGUGGCGGGUUGCUUGAAAUGCAGGUGCAGCUGGACAUUCUCCUGAGCUAAAAGCAUAUUCAUUUAGUCCCGUCAAACGGAUUAUUACUUUUGCUGCAGCUAACAUAAAGGGAGUUUGACCAUUUUGGCUGACUGAUGCAGGAUUUUCACAAGAGUCUUCAAAAGCUUUUGUUAAACUCGAUCUCAAAUCAAGUAAGACUACCCGCUGAACUUAAGCAUAUCAAUAAGCGGAGGA